GAUACUGUGAUGGAAUUGGUAGACAUGUCAGACUUGAAAUCUGUUGCCCGAUGGGCGUGAGCGUUCGAGUCGCUCCAGUAUCU
This 83-nucleotide transfer RNA is filed under the name Aureococcus anophagefferens virus. It matches the Rfam family "tRNA". From Rfam's summary of the family: Transfer RNA (tRNA) molecules are approximately 80 nucleotides in length. Their secondary structure includes four short double-helical elements and three loops (D, anti-codon, and T loops). The record is from Rfam by way of RNAcentral. Lineage: Varidnaviria; Bamfordvirae; Nucleocytoviricota; Megaviricetes; Imitervirales; Schizomimiviridae.